RNAcentral lists this ribosomal RNA (465 nucleotides) under uncultured bacterium. RNAcentral's name for it is "partial 16S ribosomal RNA". It matches the Rfam family "Bacterial small subunit ribosomal RNA", at positions 29 to 507 of the family's 1533-position model. The record is from RNAcentral.
AUGAACGCUGGCGGCGUGCUUAACCCAUGCCAGUCGAACGAUGAAGCCCAGCUUGCUGGGUGGAUUAGUGGCGAACGGGUGAGUAACACGUGAGUAACCUGCCCUUAACUCUGGGAUAAGCCUGGGAAACUGGGUCUAAUACCGGAUAGGAGCGUCCACCGCAUGGUGGGUGUUGGAAAGAUUUAUCGGUUUUGGAUGGACUCGCGGCCUAUCAGCUUGUUGGUGAGGUAAUGGCUCACCAAGGCGACGACGGGUAGCCGGCCUGAGAGGGUGACCGGCCACACUGGGACUGAGACACGGCCCAGACUCCUACGGGAGGCAGCAGUGGGGAAUAUUGCACAAUGGGCGCAAGCCUGAUGCAGCGACGCCGCGUGAGGGAUGACGGCCUUCGGGUUGUAAACCUCUUUCAGUAGGGAAGAAGCGAAAGUGACGGUACCUGCAGAAGAAGCACCGGCUAACUACGUG